GGGGAUGUGCUGGAAUUGGCAGACAGGCAUGACUUAGGAUCAUGUGCCGCAAGGCGUAAGGGUUCAAGUCCCUUCAUCCCCAC
Molecule: transfer RNA, 83 nt
Filed under: Leptolinea sp. HRD-7
Lineage: Bacteria; Bacillati; Chloroflexota; Anaerolineae; Anaerolineales; Anaerolineaceae
Description: tRNA-Leu
Rfam family: tRNA
About the family: Transfer RNA (tRNA) molecules are approximately 80 nucleotides in length.
Source: RNAcentral